AUUGAACGCUGGCGGCAUGCCUUACACAUGCAAGUCGAACGGCAGCACGGGAGCAAUCCUGGUGGCGAGUGGCGAACGGGUGAGUAAUAUAUCGGAACGUGCCCGGUCGUGGGGGAUAACGUAGCGAAAGCUACGCUAAUACCGCAUACGAUCUACGGAUGAAAGCGGGGGAUCGCAAGACCUCGCGCGAUUGGAGCGGCCGAUAUCAGAUUAGGUAGUUGGUGAGGUAAAGGCUCACCAAGCCGACGAUCUGUAGCUGGUCUGAGAGGACGACCAGCCACACUGGGACUGAGACACGGCCCAGACUCCUACGGGAGGCAGCAGUGGGGAAUUUUGGACAAUGGCGCAAGCCUGAUCCAGCAAUGCCGCGUGCAGGAUGAA
This 381-nucleotide ribosomal RNA is filed under the name uncultured bacterium. RNAcentral's name for it is "bacterial SSU rRNA". It matches the Rfam family "Bacterial small subunit ribosomal RNA", at positions 30 to 412 of the family's 1533-position model. The record is from RNAcentral.